Molecule: ribosomal RNA, 253 nt
Filed under: uncultured bacterium
Lineage: Bacteria
Description: partial 16S ribosomal RNA
Rfam family: Bacterial small subunit ribosomal RNA
Source: RNAcentral
GACGUAGGGCGCGAGCGUUGUCCGGAUUUAUUGGGCGUAAAGAGCUCGUAGGCGGUUUGUCGCGUCGUCCGUGAAAACUCACAGCUUAACUGUGAGCUUGCGGUCGAUACGGGCAGGCUAGAGUUCGGUAGGGGAGACUGGAAUUCCUGGUGUAGCGGUGAAAUGCGCAGAUAUCAGGAGGAACACCGGUGGCGAAGGCGGUUCUCUGGGCAUGUCCUGACGCUGAGGAGCGAAAGUGUGGGGAGCGAACAGG